ACGGGAGGCAGCAGUGGGGAAUAUUGGGCAAUGGGGGAAACCCUGACCCAGCAACGCCGCGUGAAGGAAGAAGGCCCUCGGGUUGUAAACUUCUUUUACCAGGGACGAACAAAUGACGGUACCUGGAGAAAAAGCAACGGCUAACUACGUGCCAGCAGCCGCGGUAAUACGUAGGUUGCAAGCGUUGUCCGGAUUUACUGGGUGUAAAGGGCGUGUAGGCGGAGAAGCAAGUCAGAUGUGAAAUCCCGGGGCUUAACCCCGGAACUGCAUUUGAAACUGUUUCCCAUGAGUAUCGGAGAGGCAGGCGGAAUUCCUAGUGUAGCGGUGAAAUGCGUAGAUAUUAGGAAGAACACCGGUGGCGAAGGCGGCCUGCUGGACGACAACUGACGCUGAGGCGCGAAAGCGUGGGGAGCAAACAGGAUUAGAUACCCUGGUA
This 436-nucleotide ribosomal RNA is filed under the name uncultured Oscillospiraceae bacterium. RNAcentral's name for it is "bacterial SSU rRNA". It matches the Rfam family "Bacterial small subunit ribosomal RNA", at positions 341 to 792 of the family's 1533-position model. The record is from RNAcentral. Lineage: Bacteria; Bacillati; Bacillota; Clostridia; Eubacteriales; Oscillospiraceae.